This 298-nucleotide long non-coding RNA is filed under the name Homo sapiens (human). Its description in RNAcentral is "LNC_000919". Lineage: Eukaryota; Metazoa; Chordata; Mammalia; Primates; Hominidae. The record is from RNAcentral.
GUCAAUGAUGGUUGGCCAGGUUUUCACAUCCACAGCUGCUGCUGCCUCUCGGGACCUCAGUAGCCUCAUUAGGGUCUGACUGGUGAGAAUACAGGCUGCUUUGCUGACAUCAACAAUCAUUCGGACAGUGGGCAGCGUGGCCGUGAGGUUCUGAGCAUGUGGAGGUCUGACGGUCACAGGUAUACAGCCCGCAUACAGGCAGCCAUAGAAGGCGGCGAUUAACUCAAUGCCAGGUGGAUAGAGCAACACCACAUUAUCUCCUGCAUUUAGAUGUCCCUUAUCACCAAGAACAGAUGCA